AUUUCCUGGGUCACAAGGUCACAACCUCCUGGGUACGAAUCAAAACAAAGAUGGCCGCCCACCGGCAGUACACUGGAGUGAACAGCCGAGAAUCAGGAUUCAUUCUUCUUCUCCUGCCGUGGACAUUAUACUUCAGCCAUUAAAGUGCUGAGACGCGUCUGUGUGGGAUCUGCAAACACGAUGAUUUCCUCUGCACUGAUGAAGAAGGCAGGAGUUAUGACCCAGCAUCCUGAAAUAACUGCACACACCAAGGAGAAGAUGGUGGAUAAGAUGAACGUCAUGAGAAAAAGAGGAGACAUACAUGUAGAAGAUGCAGACAAAGAUGUCAACUUGGAAGGAAAGCGAGAUUCGAGAGCUUUUGGGGAUACGGGCCGAUGUCGGUGUUGAUGUCCUGUAAACAAAAACACGCUCUUUACGCAGCAGAAUUUAUACAUCAUGUCCCUCCUCCUGCGUGCUCUACUCAGGCCACACCCCUCGCCUGAAAUGUUCCUGUUGUUGUGAACGCGUCCGACCCGAAGAAUCUCCUGCUGCAUUCUUCAAAUGUCAAAGGCAAAUUCUGGAAAAUGUCUGGACCCAAUUUUCUGUACAUUUUCCCAAGUUCAUGCCUGAAAACAGCUCUAGCCAGCCAACAACCAAACUGUAGAAUUACACCAAAAGGGAAACUGGGUGAUGCAAAAACAAUACCUCACAGUUGGUGAUACAAAACCUUAUUAACACCAUGAUCAGGUCUGCAAAGAGAAGACGAGGACACAUUAACAAGCUGGAAUGAUGCUGACUAUUAACAAGUCAAAAUGGAGCAGAAGACCCUCAGAUGCACAAAAUCUGCCGUGUAACAAAGUUUGGGAAUUGCUAAUUUUGAAGGCCUGGAGGCAUUUGUCAAAGACUGAGCCCCGCUUAACUGGACACUAUGAGGCAACACCACAAGCUGAGGCAGUCGAAUGCGACACAAGUAAGCCCCCUCACAUCUAAUCUUUCACUAAUCCUCCUCCGUGCAACUAGAUGCUUCAUUGAAGAGUUUUUUAAGCUUGUUUUUACUCAUUAGAAUAUUAAUUUCUUGCUCAGACCAGUACAGAUUUAUUUAAGGAUUCAUUUUAGGUAACAAUUUCCAUUUAAUGUGGAACUUAAAAAUAUUUUAAUGCUGGAAGCUAAAUUAAGAAAAUGUUGUUGCAAUAACCCCACUGUCAUGUGCCUUCGACUUGAGGAUUAACAGUACAUUCACAAAGUAUUCAGACCCUGUCACUUUUGUUUUACAUUUCAUGUUGCAGCCUUAUGUUGAAAUAAAAAUAAAUAAUAAUAUUAAAUAAA
Hippoglossus stenolepis (Pacific halibut) is the source of this 1305-nucleotide long non-coding RNA. RefSeq lists it as uncharacterized. The record is from RefSeq and is a predicted model, not a curated record. Lineage: Eukaryota; Metazoa; Chordata; Actinopteri; Pleuronectiformes; Pleuronectidae. The transcript is spliced from 2 exons.